This 722-nucleotide ribosomal RNA is filed under the name Inocybe pseudodestricta. RNAcentral's name for it is "16S ribosomal RNA". It matches the Rfam family "Bacterial small subunit ribosomal RNA", at positions 400 to 933 of the family's 1533-position model. The record is from RNAcentral. Lineage: Eukaryota; Fungi; Basidiomycota; Agaricomycetes; Agaricales; Inocybaceae.
UGNUCAUCGAAAAUACACAAAUACACAAAUGUGCUUAUUGUGAUAACGUAAGGGAAAAAAAAUGAUAUUACCUUACUAUAAGUGUUGUCUAAAUAACUGGUGCCAGAAGACUCGGUAACACCAGAAACGCGAACGUUAGUCGUCUUAAACAGGCGUAAAGGGUAAGUAGGCUGCUUUAAAGUCUAUUUUUUUAAUAAGCUAAUUAAUAAUAUUCCUAUCCCUGCUAAGCAGUAGCAUCCCCCUCGCUUGCUCCUUCGGAGGGGUCAAGCGAUUAGCUAAGGCAGGGGUGGCCCAUAACUAUAAAUAUUCUCUCUGAAAGACCUUAAUUUAUAAAUUAAGGGGAAGUACAUUGAAAAUAGGGAAUUAUUAUUUUUAUGUAUAAGUAAUAAUAAUAAUUAUUAAUGGGAACAAAAAUAGAUACACUUAAAGCUAGAAUCAUAAUUGAGAUAAACCAAAUAAUACUUAUGUGUAAGGGCGAUAUCUGCAAAUACUAAGUAGAAUACUAACGGUGAAAACUUUUUAUCUGGUAAUGAUUGACGCUGAGGUACGAAAGUGAGAACAGGGAAUAGGAUUAGAUACCCAGUUACCUCUCACCGUCAACGAUGAAUGGUAGUUGUUAAUUUAAUUUAAUUAGUGACGAUGUUAACGCGAUAACCAUUCCGCCUUGAGAGUACGGUUGCAAAACUGAAACCAAAAAAAUUCAGUCGGUCUACGGAGUCAAA